ACAGAGGGGGCAAGCGUUAUUCGGAAUUAUUGGGCGUAAAGGGCGCGUAGGCGGCUUUUCAAGUGACGGGUGAAAUCCCUCGGCUUAACCGAGGAACUGCCUGUCAGACUGGAAGGCUUGAGACCGGGAGAGGUGAGUGGAAUUCCGAGUGUAGAGGUGAAAUUCGUAGAUAUUCGGAAGAACACCAGUGGCGAAGGCGACUCACUGGACACGUAUUGACGCUGAGGUGCGAAAGCGUGGGGAGCAGACAGGA
Molecule: ribosomal RNA, 253 nt
Filed under: uncultured prokaryote
Description: partial 16S ribosomal RNA
Rfam family: Bacterial small subunit ribosomal RNA
Source: RNAcentral